GAGCUAAAUAGCAUAAUUCAAAUUAUUUUGAUUUAAAAUCUUAAUUAUUUCUCAAAAUAUUAAAAUUGAAAUUUUAAUAUAUAUUUUAAGGCAAAAAAUAAAAACCACAUUCACAAUACUGAAUAACUAAUAUACACAUUUCUAAUUUUCUCUCAAGCUUCUUGCUGGUGUGCGGGCUAUGGAGAGUUGAUAAAUCCGUUGGUUUUCUUAUUUGUUUCUCAAUCCAACUUCAUCAAGCUUCGUUUUCCUGCAAAUUCAUACACUUUCGAUCUCCAUUAUCUCUAAAUCCAAGCAAAGAUUUUUAUUUUUUUAUUUUUUUUGAAUUUCUUCCAUUCUUGUUUUUUCUUCGAUUUUUUAAAGGCUUUUAUUUUAUUGGUUGGCAGUUAAUUU
RNAcentral lists this long non-coding RNA (390 nucleotides) under Gossypium raimondii (Peruvian cotton). Its description in RNAcentral is "long non-coding RNA (GRAI_LNC003552)". The record is from RNAcentral. Lineage: Eukaryota; Viridiplantae; Streptophyta; Magnoliopsida; Malvales; Malvaceae.